Molecule: long non-coding RNA, 6925 nt
Organism: Mercenaria mercenaria
Lineage: Eukaryota; Metazoa; Mollusca; Bivalvia; Venerida; Veneridae
Exons: 6
Source: RefSeq, a predicted model, not a curated record
UUCCUCAGAGGAGAAACAACCUGUUACAGCUGCAGUACUAGGAUCUCUUCUAGCAUUUCUGUUCUUGUUAACAUUGUACUUGUUGGCCGUUUACUCCUAAAACGGAUACGUACAUCUCGCAGAAAAUCCAUGGUACGAAAGGCGGAAGAGGCAUUUUAUGAAAAUACUGGGAUUACUGGAAAUGCGAUAGAAAUGGCAGGUAAUACUGAGACAAAUGGAAACGACGGCACGGUCACUGAACAAGUUUCAGCUUCUCUAAGUGUGUACAGUUCAAAGAAAAGUGAAUAUGAGGAUAUUCGCAAUGUGCAAGAUUCCGAGCAUGAGUAUGGACAGAUUCCACCAGCUGCUACAAAUUAAUCCAGUACGUUUGUACGACUCUGCAGAGGAUCAGAAAGUUGUGAUGCUAGAGGUUCUGUGUACAAGAAACACUCGUCUACAAUGAACUCUACGGUGUACUCUAUUGAUCAUCGCAAACAGCUUGUUUUUUUUUUCAGUUAAAACUGAUCCACUAUGUACCAUACUGAGGUGCAUGCAGCUGUUUUUCAAUUCAGUCAUCCUAUAUGUAUUCUCUACUCAGUAGCAAGCAGCAGGUUUCAGUUAAAUUCAUCAAAUAUGUAUGUGUGUGAAAUUAGCCAGAGCAGCUAGAGUAGCCAAAGUUCAGCCAGGGUUCAGCCAGAGUUUAGCUUGAGUAGCCAGAGUUCAGCCAGAGUUCAACCAGAUUUUAGCCAGAGUAGCCGGAGUUUAGCCAGAGAAGUCAUAACUCUGUUUACUCUGGCUGGCCAGAGUAGCCAGAGUUCAGCCAGAGAAGUCAUAAUAACUCUGGUUACUCUGGCUGGCCAGAGUAGCCAGAGUUCAGCAAGAAAAGCCAUAUAGGAUGUUAUAAUGUUCUGGCUAUUCUGGUCAGCCAUAGUAUCCAGAAUAGCCCGAGUCACCUGGAUUUUAUUUGCUCUGGUUAGUCUGGCUGGCCAGAGUAGCCAGAGUUUCUAGGAUUUUAAGAGUAGCCAGAGUAACCUGGUUCACAAAACAUUUUCCGUCUUAGCUGAUUUGAUUAUGAAACUUAAUAUGUCAUUUUUAUCUAAAUAGCAUGUUUAAACUGAUUUUCAAGUUAAUUACUAUUUUCAAGUGGCCAUUUAGAGUAGCCAGAGUAGCCAAAACUCUGGAGUAGCCAGAGUAGCCAGAACACUUGUUACUCUGGCUGGCCAGAGUAGCCAGAGUUCAGCCAGAGUUCAGCCACAGUAGCCAGAAUUCAGCCAUAGUAGCAAGAGUUUCUAGGCUUUUUACAUGUUCUGACUACUCUGGUCAGCCAGAGUAUCCGGAGUAGCCCGAGUUACCAGGAUUUCAUUCUCUCUAUUUACUUCGGCUGGCCAGAGUAGCCAGAGUUUCUAGGAUUUUAACAUGUUUUUGCUACUCUGGUCAGCCAGAGUAGCCAGAGUAACCAGGUCCCAUGUUCAUUAACGUUUUUCAGUCUUAGCUGAAUUUGAUUAUGAAAUCUAAUAACUGAGCCGUGCCAUGAGAAAAACAAACAGUGGCUUUGCGACCAGCAUGGAUCCAGACCAGCCUGCGCAUCCGCGCAGUCUGGUCAGGAUCCAUGCUGUUCGCUUUUAAAGCGUAUUGGACUUGGAGAAACUGUUAGCGAGCAGCACGGAUCCUGACCAGCCUGCGCAGGCUGGUCUGGAUCCAUUCUGGUCUCAAUGUUGGUUUUCUCAUGGCGCAACUCAUAUGUCAUUUCUAACAAAUAGCAUGUUUAAAACUGAAUUUCAAGUUAAUAACUAUUUUCAAGCGGCUAUUUAGAGUAGCCAGAGUAGCCAGUACUCUGGUCACUAUGGCUGGCCAGAGUAGCCAGAGUUCAGUCAGAGUAGCCAGAGUUCAGCCAGAGUAGCCAGAAUUCUGGUUACUCUGGCUGGCCAAAAUAGCCAGAGUUCAGCCAGAGUAGCCGAGUAACCAGGAUGUCAAUUGCUCUGGUUACUAUGGCUAGCCAGAACAGCCAGAAUUGCCGAGAUGUCCAUUGGUUCUAGCUACCCUGGCUAGCCAGAAUAGCCAGAGAAAAUACUGUAAUACCUUUUGCAAAAUGACCCUUUUGGUACUCUCAGGUUUGAUGUUUUAGUGUUUUAUAUUUAUCAAGUGUAUCAUCGUACCAUCGUGCAUCGCGGUUUAGUAUUAAAUAAAAAGUCACGAUUGUCCAAACGGAACGCCGUACAUAACAGUGUGAAAAUGGUGAAAAGUCAAUUUACAUUACUGAACAAAAUUGAUAGGUAAGACUAAGUCAGAAUAAAUGAUAUUUAAUAGUUACCAUUAUAUAUUGAAUGACCCUCAUACACUAUACUUGAUUUUUUUAGCUCGUGUCACUGUGUGACAAGGUGAGGUUUUGUGAUCAACUUUUGUCUUGUCUAUCAGAUUGAGUCAGGCUCUUUGACUGAACUCAGUACUUAUUCCAUUUUAUAUUGUAAAACCUUAAAAAUCUUCUCAAGUACCACAAGACCCAGAGCUUAGAUAUUUUGCAAGAAGCAUUGGCAAGUACAUCUCUUUUCAAAUCAUGGACUCCGGGGUCAAAUUGGAUCUGCCUUGGAGCUUUAAGUUUCACAUAGAGUAAUAUAUUAAAUCCUAUAAAAAUAUUCUUAUUUUCCUUUAGGCCCAGACUAUAUAUAUUUUGUAUCUAGCAUGGCCUAGUGAAUGCCUCUCUUAAAAUUGAGCAAAUCAUGUCCCCUGAUGUUAAAAUUGCCUCCGCUUGUGCUAAUGAGCUGGUAAAGUCUUACAGGCAAAUCUUUUAAAAUCUUCUCAAAAGAAUUGCAAUGACAAGAGUUAAGAUAUUUUACAUGUUCAAAUCAAUACCACAGAGUCAAAAUGGUUCCUACUUAAGUUUUAUAUAGAACAAGUGAACACAUACACUUAAAGCGGCUUAAUAACGGUAUUUCAUCUAAACCCUUGGAAAAAGGUAGGUACAUGUGACAUGCCAAUCAAAACGCAAAAUGCCAUUCAAAAAUUGAUUGUUGUCACUUUAUGCCACCAGACAAUCAGCAUUCCAUGUUGUAUUAAAUCGGUAUUACUUGUGUACGUGUAUGAAACGAUAUUGACUGUGUUUGGAUUAAACAGUUAUAGGACUGCUAACUGAUAAGUAAGACAAUUCUUUGAAGUCCGUUUGAAGAAUCACUUGAUAUAUGAAAAACUAAAAACUAAAAAAGACCUGAGGGUACAAAAAAGAGUCAUUUCGCAACAUGUUAAAGCCCUAGAAACUCUGGCUACUCUGGCAGAAGUCAACUUGAUACAUAAAACACAAAACAUUUCAACUUUGAGAGAACCAAAAUAGUCAACAAUCUUCUCACACCUUUCCAAUAUAACUUCCGUUCCAAACAUAGCUGUGAGGCUCAACUAUUAUCCUUUACACAAGAAACUUUUGACAAUCUCCAAUCUGGAAACAAACAGGUCUCAUUGUAAUGGAUUUCUCAAAAGCUUUUGACAAGAUCGAUCAUCAACACCUUCUCUAUCAAAUCGUGAAACUUUUUGUCUACAGAAUCUCUCUAUCCUGAAUUCAAUCUUUCUCUUGUAACCGUUCUCAAUCUGUAGUACCCGAAGGCUCACAAUCUUUACCAGUUCUAUCAGGGGGUUCCUCAAGGGUCAGUGUUGGGGCCUUGUCUCUUCCUUUGAUUUAUCAAUGACCUUCCUGACUCUGUUAAAGAUAGAAUACGCUUAACUGCUGAUGACACUAUCAUAUAACAUAGACUCGUUAAUAGACUCUUACAAAGUUCAAGAUGAUUUGACAAAAUUAGAAGAAUGGGAACGUAAUUGGUCGUUGGAAUUCAAUCCUGAUAAAUGCGAAGUAAUAGGAAUCUCAACAAAAAAAAAGAGAAAAAAUAUCAUCUUUCAUAUAAAUUAUUUAAUCAAGAACUAAAAAGUACAGGAAAUGCUAAAUAUCUUGGGAUUACUAUUAGUGAUGUCUUAACUUUGAAACACAUAUUGAAAUUACAUCUUCAAAAGCUAGUAACACUCUCAGAUUUAUAAAAAAUAUGUACAAUGUUAUAACAGAACAGAACAGAACAGAACAUACAUUUUAUUCGAAUUAAGCAUAAACAGCUCAUCUUCUUUUAUAAUACAAUAUAUUUGCAUGCAUACGAAAAUGAUAAGUAUCUAAGCAUUGAGUGAGAGUGAAUAAAACCAUUGGGCUACAAUUUGGAGGAUAUUUUCUCCAACACAGUACAUAAUAUUAUAUAUUUACACUACAGUACAUAUAUAUUUUUACACUCUAAUGAUAUUUUCUAAAUCUUUAAGGAUACGCUCUCUGGUGUACAAUUUCGGUGUAUAAAAGGUUAAUUGUAUGCGCUUGUAAAGUUGUGAACGUGCAGUGAUUCGCACGAAAAAAAAAAAAAAACCUACUGUCAAUAAUUUUCCGAUGAAACGAUUAUAAGAACAACUCGAUAAACCCGUGCAUCCAUGAGUGACCGAUAUUUAGCAUAGCAUUGUGCGGUUUACGAACAACUUUUCAAAACAAGUGAGAAACUGUGUACAUAUAACAUUACAAUAUCGUGUCCAAAUAAAAUAAAACAUACAUUAUACAAGCACAUUUUCAAUAGUCAUUCGCGAUAGUACAAUGGAGAGCGUAACCACAGAUAAUAUGCACAACAGACUUUCACGCUGUUUCAGUACUCAACGUCUUUAAGGUAGAUUAAUCAUAUACAAAAAAGAAACAGGCAACCUUCAGACUAUUUCCGGGACUUAGUGGACAGCUACAGGACAGCCAGCAGACGUCGAGCCUUGAAAACGCAUAGAGUUCUGGUGUGCAAUAAAACUAAGAUACUAGUACAUUAUACAUUAUAGUGCAAACAAAUCAUGUUGACUUAAUAUAACGCAUUUAAUGCAUUGUUUCUUAUUUUAAACGCCUUGUUACAAUAUAAGGCUAGUUUUAUCACAACUGAUUUCCUCGUGGAAUUUAGGAGUUCGAUGAACUUGUACAUACUAGGGUGUCUUACGUAGUAAUUAGAAAUAUACAAAUUUCUUAUUUCAUUGUAUAUGGGACAAAUUAUUACGAAAUGAUAUUCGUCUUCGAUAUCGUUACAGUUACAAAGUGUACAUUUUCUUUCACUUCUGUCAAUAUUAUUAUGUCUUCCUGUUUCUAUAAACAAUUUAUGUGAUGAUAGUCUAAGUUUCGCUAACGUGUUUCGUAAUUUAUAACUUGUUAUCAUAUUUAAAUAGACAGCUCUGUUGAAAUCAAAUUUCAGGUCUUUAUACAUAUAUAAUGAUGAACACAAAUCCACACCAUUACGCCAGUAUGUAAUAUAAAUAUCUCUCAUACGACAUCGUAAUAAUGGUAUAAAAAUAUCUACGUUGACGGACUCAGGAAAAAUCCAAACAUCAUUGAAACCUGCACUCUGUAAAAUAGUUCUAACCUUCGAAGACCAAUUAGCAAUUCCAGGGUUUAAUUCAAUUUCUGCCCUUUGCUGUUUUACCAUACAGUUAAGAAUACAAUUUUCGCUUUUAACUUUAUACAGGUUUAUGAAAUAUUUUACCAUGCGUAUAUGGCGUGAGAUAUAUAAAGGAUAUCUACCUAGUUCUGAAUACAAAGAUAGUGAGUUUGUCGACAUCUUUACAUUAAGCAUCCAUUUACAAAAUUUCCGAUGAACAAUUUCUAUAUUUUCCGCUUGCAGGUAGCCCCAUAUCUCACAACCGUAAUUCAAAAUAGAUGCAACAUAUGAGUCAAACAAGUUAAACAUAAUAUCUAUUGGAAUGUCUUUGCCCUUUGUUUCACUCAAUAAUGAACUCAUUGCUCUUAAAGCCUUGCCUUUAAGAGUAUUUGUAGCGUGAACAAAAGAGCCACCACUUGACAUAACAAUUCCUAAAUAAUUAAAAGUAUUAACAACCUCUAUAUUGGAACCUGCAUAUGUCCAUUUGCAAUUUCUGUUCACUAUAGCACCUUUUCGGAAUACAACUAUUUUUGUUUUGUCUACAUUUACUGUCAGGUUCCAUUUUGAACAAUAUUUUUCUAAGCUAUCCAAGGAUUUUUGAAGACCUUCUAUCGAGUCAGAACAUAUAACAGCAUCGUCUGCGAAUAACAAAAGAUAAAUAGAUAUCUGAUCUAGCGUCAAACCAACAUCUAAAUUUUCUUGCAAUGCGUUCUCUAAAUCAUUUAUAAAGAGACUAAAUAUAAUUGGUGACGUAAUCUCACUAUCAAAAAAUUCAGACAAUGUAUGGAUAUGCUUGACACGUAAUUUUACCUCUUUGUACAUGGAAUAAAUAACCGAAAAUAAUUUACCGUCAACGCCACAUUUUAUAAGUUUGUACCAUAGACAAUUGCGAUCAAUUAGGUCAUAUGCCUUCUUAAAGUCAAUAAAGCAACAAAACAAUUUUUUCCGGUCUGUAAUAUACUUUUCUACUAAUGAAUUUAAUACAAAAAUAGCAUCUACUGUACUGUAAUCUUUCUUAAAGCCAAAUUGAGCAUCAGUAAUCUUUUCAUUUACUAUGGCCCACUUUUUCAACCUUUCAUUUAUAAUAACGGUAAAAAACUUUGCAAAACAGCUAGUAAUUGUAAUACCCCGAUAGUUAUUAGGGUCAGAUGACUCGCCCUUUUUAUACAAUGGAAUAAUAAUGCCAGAUGACCAACAUCUUGGAAAGGUUCUACUGUCUAAUAUAUAAUUAAAUAAUAAGUGCAAUGGGUUAACUAUAUCAUAAAUAUUUGCUUUGAAAUAUUCAUACAGUAUGUUGUCAGAUGAACACAUUUUAUUAUUACUUAAACAUUUGGAUGCCCGUACAAUUUCAUCAAUUGUAAUAGGUAUGUCAAGCUCAUCAAAAGUUGGGUUAUCUGUACCGUUAUUCAAAAAAUCUUCAACAAAGUCAUAACAUUCUGUAUUUACCGCAUCGUCUUCGUGCCGUUCUUGCGUAGAGGAAAGGUCUUUAAAGUGAUUAUAAAACUCAUUACAUGAAAUUUGCUCCCCUUGAC